AAAUCCUACAAGAGAUUCAAUAAAUCCUAAAAGGUCUUCAAAAAUCCUACAAGAGAUUCAAUAAAUCCCGCAAGAGAUUCCAUAAAUCCUACAAGAGAUUCAAAAAAUGAUAAGGGAAUUUUCAUAAAUCCUGAAAGAUCUUCAAUAAAUCCUACAAGAGAUUGAAUAAAUCCUACAAGAGAUUCCAUAAAUCCCACAAGAGAUUCCAUAAAUCCUACAAGAGAUUCAAUAAAUCCUAAAAGGUCUUCAAAAAUCCUACAAGAGAUUCAAUAAAUCCCGCAAGAGAUUCCAUAAAUCCUACAAGAGAUUCCAUAAAUCCCACAAGAGAUUCAAUAAAUGAUAAGGGAAUUUUCAUAAAUCCUACAAGAGAUUAAAUAAAUCCUAAAAGAUCUUCAAAAAUCCUACAAGAGAUUCCAUAAAUCCCACAAGAGAUUCAAUAAAUCCUAAAAGAGAUUCAAUAAAUCCCACAAGAGAUUCAAUAAAUUAUAAGGGAAUUUUCAUAAAUCCUGAAAGAUCUUCAAUAAAUCCUAAAAGAUCUUCAAUAAAUCCUACAAGAGAUUCCAUAAAUCCCACAAGAGAUUCCAUAAAUCCUAAAAGGUCUUCAAAAAUCCUAAAAGAGCUUCAACAUUAAGUUUAUUUGCAGAAAUUCCCUCACUCCUCACAUUCCUUUGAUAAAUCCUAAAAAAAUUU
Molecule: long non-coding RNA, 690 nt
Organism: Vidua macroura (Pin-tailed whydah)
Lineage: Eukaryota; Metazoa; Chordata; Aves; Passeriformes; Viduidae
Exons: 2
Source: RefSeq, a predicted model, not a curated record